RNAcentral lists this transfer RNA (74 nucleotides) under Kandleria vitulina. Its description in RNAcentral is "tRNA_Arg_CCT". It matches the Rfam family "tRNA". From Rfam's summary of the family: Transfer RNA (tRNA) molecules are approximately 80 nucleotides in length. Their secondary structure includes four short double-helical elements and three loops (D, anti-codon, and T loops). Further hydrogen bonds mediate the characteristic L-shaped molecular structure. tRNAs have two regions of fundamental functional importance: the anti-codon, which is responsible for specific mRNA codon recognition, and the 3' end, to which the tRNAs corresponding amino acid is attached (by aminoacyl-tRNA synthetases). tRNAs cope with the degeneracy of the genetic code in two manners: having more than one tRNA (with a specific anti-codon) for a particular amino acid; and 'wobble' base-pairing, i.e. permitting non-standard base-pairing at the 3rd anti-codon position. RNAcentral also lists the same sequence under 1 other name. The record is from RNAcentral. Lineage: Bacteria; Bacillati; Bacillota; Erysipelotrichia; Erysipelotrichales; Coprobacillaceae.
GUCAUCAUAGCUCAGAUGGAUAGAGCAUUCGCCUCCUAAGCGAAGGGUCGGCGGUUCGACUCCGCCUGAUGACG